GUUAUUUUUCAUUCCCUCACUUUAUCCCUUCAAUUUUUCAUUCCCGCUCACCUAUUUCUCUAAUCUUCUGCAAAUCCCAAAUUUCUUCUCCAAACCCUUAAAAACUCUAUCAAUCAAAACUCUAAACAUUCCUUUACUCAAUGCUUAUUUUUGUUCAAACAAAUUGAAAAACCUUAAUGAAACCCUAACCCUAAAUAAGAAGCCAUAUUCUCCUUGAAACCAAACAAAGAAGCCUUUCACCCCCUUGAAAAUAGCUUCCUCAUAUUCAUUUCAUCGCAGUUGUUGUGGUCACAGCCCUAUUUCACUGAAACCCUUAUGACCCUGUCCGGCUAAAACCCUCGUAUGGAAGAAAUCAAACCUCACACCUUCUGUCUCGAUGAAAUCCUACGUAUAAACCUUCUUAUUGAGAACUAAUUCUAAAAAAACUCCUUUAACCGUCGCAGUUUGUGUUCUCGUUGUGAAGACACAAAACUUGGAUUUGCAAAGAAGCCCUCUACUUAUCUCUUAUGUCGACCUUGGUCUCCGGCCUUCGUCACGGUCUAAGUCUUUGGCCUCAUCUUCACAGUCCGCCUCCAUUCGCAGAGGUAAUCUAAUAACCAGAGACUUAAGUUUAAUGCAGCUUCUAACGAGAAGCAGAUUGCAUGCGCCGUGAGGGUACCAUUCCGUGAAGGCAAGAAUAACCCUUGAAGGAAUGAAGUUUUUAGAAAGUGCAGAAAUGGAUGUAGAAUGUAGAAUGUAUAACGGUAGGUGACAUGGUUUAAUUUGGCUCAUGAAAUGACUGCCGAAUUCAGUGGGUUAUGCGCUGAAGAGGUGCAUCAAUAGCUGAAGUCUAUUUUCCAAGUUUAUUUAAAUAUAGUUUGUAUUACCUCUUCCCAGUCUAGACAUUUCCUUAUGCAUCUUUCUCUUAAGAGUUUAUAAUGUAAAACCUGAAUUUUGGCUUAUUUGCAACAAGAGCUGGAAAAACUGCAUGACUUAAGGAAUAAAGUCAAAUUGGAAGGAGAACAAUGGGACGAUCUCGUAUCAAGUUCGAGUCAGAAUUCCCAUUUAGUUUUGAAGGCUACUGUCCUAUGGGAUUCUUUAGUAGCUCGUAAAAGUCAACAGGAAGUUCUCGCAUCAGGCCCUAAUGAAGACUCACUAGAUAGCUCAUCGUGAACAUAGGUAUCGAAUCUAUCGAUCAUCUCUGCUUGCAGCCAUGGACCAGAAUUUUCGAGCUCCUUAUCCAGAUAUAUUAUCUGAUUUUGUCAGAGAGCAUAUAGUGGACCACAGAUUGAGGGGCUGCUUCACUUUUGCAUUGGAUCAGAUAAAUAAGGUCUCUCCUUACCCAUUUGUGCUUCUAACUUGUGGUGAAUGAUGAACUGUAAAAUACUUUACACGAUGAUGAUUAUAUGUUUGUAAUAUAUGGAACUGUUUUUGAAAACUGAACUGUUUUUGAAAAUAGAAUUCAAACUUGUCCUUAUUCACUGUAAUUUGAAGCGCGGGUCUGUCAACUUGACCACCAGCUGUUUGAUCAAUUUUCUCAACUUCUUUGAAGGAUGUUUCGAGUUUAUCCUCAUUGAUGGACCCUAUGUAAGUUUAUAUUCCUGUUACAUAUGCACACUCGCUUUUAAUUCUCCCGAGGACUUGCCAAAGACACUCAUGCGAACUCUAAAUCAAGGCCCGUCUCCUAUGAACAUGAACUCUAAAGCAAGGCCCGUCUUCAAAUGAACUAGCUUAUUUUUCUGAAUUGGAGAUGUCCAUGUUGCUAACUAAGUCAUGUAAUGUAACUACGAUGUGGGAUGCUGCUACGGGUAUAAAGCAGUAAACUUUCUAAGGUCACGAGGCUCCCGUUUAUUAAGAAAGCAGUAGAAGUUGGCUUUGUUACUUUUGAUGAAAUAGUAUCAGAUUUGUACUAAUUAGUUUUCUACUGUGUGACAAAUAGUUAGAUGUUGGGUUAGAGAUAAUUAAUUUCAACCUUGUGGCAUUUAAUUUGGUCUUUA
This is a long non-coding RNA of Vicia villosa (hairy vetch), 1976 nucleotides long. RefSeq lists it as uncharacterized. NCBI's taxonomy places the organism in Eukaryota, Viridiplantae, Streptophyta, Magnoliopsida, Fabales, Fabaceae. The transcript has 6 exons. The record is from RefSeq and is a predicted model, not a curated record.